Molecule: transfer RNA, 83 nt
Filed under: Candidatus Parcubacteria bacterium
Lineage: Bacteria; Candidatus Parcubacteria
Description: tRNA-Tyr
Rfam family: tRNA
About the family: Transfer RNA (tRNA) molecules are approximately 80 nucleotides in length. Their secondary structure includes four short double-helical elements and three loops (D, anti-codon, and T loops). Further hydrogen bonds mediate the characteristic L-shaped molecular structure. tRNAs have two regions of fundamental functional importance: the anti-codon, which is responsible for specific mRNA codon recognition, and the 3' end, to which the tRNAs corresponding amino acid is attached (by aminoacyl-tRNA synthetases). tRNAs cope with the degeneracy of the genetic code in two manners: having more than one tRNA (with a specific anti-codon) for a particular amino acid; and 'wobble' base-pairing, i.e. permitting non-standard base-pairing at the 3rd anti-codon position.
Source: RNAcentral
GCGUCGGUCGUAUAGCGGCAAUUACACGAGACUGUAAAUCUCGCGGCCAUAGGCCUACGGGGGUUCGAGUCCCUCCCGACGCA